GACAGAGGAUGCAAGCGUUAUCCGGAAUGAUUGGGCGUAAAGCGUCUGUAGGUGGCUUUUUAAGUCCGCCGUCAAAUCCCAGGGCUCAACCCUGGACAGGCGGUGGAAACUACCAAGCUGGAGUACGGUAGGGGCAGAGGGAAUUCCGGGUGUAGCGGUGGAAUGCGUAGAGAUCCGGAAGAACACCGGUGGCGAAGGCGGUCUGCUGGGCAGUAGCUGACACUGAGGCGCGACAGCGUGGGGAGCAAACAGG
RNAcentral lists this ribosomal RNA (253 nucleotides) under uncultured bacterium. Its description in RNAcentral is "partial 16S ribosomal RNA". It matches the Rfam family "Bacterial small subunit ribosomal RNA", at positions 524 to 776 of the family's 1533-position model. The record is from RNAcentral.